RNAcentral lists this long non-coding RNA (948 nucleotides) under Homo sapiens (human). RNAcentral describes it as "long non-coding RNA NONHSAT156966.1". Lineage: Eukaryota; Metazoa; Chordata; Mammalia; Primates; Hominidae. The record is from RNAcentral.
GGAAUUAAGUCCUCACAAGAAUAGACUCUUGUCACCUCUUCGCUGUUCUGCACCAAUGUCGCUACAUAAUUCUCUGGUGAAACCAGAGAGACAGUCCAAAUGUUUUGAGUUUGGGAAGCUACAGCCUUCUUCUUCUCAGUCACUGGAUGUUCAAAACAUAACUGAUUCUUCUUUCUCUAGGACUACUUGCUUUCAAGGUGUUAAAGUUGAUUCACUUGGGAAAAGAUCUGAUGUUAUUUCCAAAGUUGAGGCUCGGGAUAUCACAGAAAUGACUAACAAGGCUUCCAAAGAGCCUGUUGGUUGUGUAAAUAAUAUCAGUUUUCUUGCCUCACUGGCCGGGAGCACAAGCAGAAAUAGAUUACAGAGCACACGUGGGGCAGGCAGGCUUCAGAACUCUGGAACUGGGCUGUCUACAAACCUCCAGCAUUUUCAGGAAGAAAACUUUAGGAAAAGUUCUCCCCAGUUAGAACAUACAGGAGUUUUUUUGGAGAAUGUACUACUCAUCACCUCCCACCUGUGAAAGCCCCUCUUCAGACAAAGAAGAAAACAACAAAUCAUUGUUUUCUUUGUGGAAAGAAAACAGGACUGGCUAGUAGCUACGAAUGCAGAUGUGGAAACAACUUCUGUGCAUCUCAUCGUUAUGCAGAAACUCAUGGCUGUACCUAUGAUUACAAGAGUGCAGGGAGGAGAUACUUGCACGAGGCAAAUCCUGUGGUUAAUGCACCAAAGCUUCCAAAAAUCUAACUCUUCCUCUACAUCUUACUGUUCUGCCCGGGAUUCGUAUUAUAAUGACAGAAGAAAUGUUGUUUAGACUAUUAUUUUUGUUCGACUCUAAAAGAUUUGCCAAAUAACAAAAGCAUACAAUGCAUACUGUUGGAGAACAAGAAUGCUACUGUAUUUUACAUCUUUAUUUCUUGGUGAAACAAAAGUUUUAAAAGUAGUUUUAAC